Molecule: non-coding RNA, 24 nt
Filed under: Arabidopsis thaliana (thale cress)
Lineage: Eukaryota; Viridiplantae; Streptophyta; Magnoliopsida; Brassicales; Brassicaceae
Source: RNAcentral
AGGAGCCAUCCCAAUACUCGCCUG